AGUGAACGCUGGCGGUAGGCCUAACACAUGCAAGUCGAACGGCAGCACAGUAAGAGCUUGCUCUUACGGGUUGCGAGUGGCGGACGGGUGAGGAAUACAUCGGAAUCUACUUUUUCGUGGGGGAUAACGUAGGGAAACUUACGCUAAUACCGCAUACGACCUACGGGUGAAAGCAGGGGAUCUUCGGACCUUGCGCGAUUGAAUGAGCCGAUGUCGGAUUAGCUAGUUGGCGGGGUAAAGGCCCACCAAGGCGACGAUCCGUAGCUGGUCUGAGAGGAUGAUCAGCCACACUGGAACUGAGACACGGUCCAGACUCCUACGAGAGGCAGCAGUGGGGAAUAUUGGACAAAGGGCGCAAGCCUGAUCCAGCCAUACCGCGUGGGUGAAGAAGGCCUUCGGGUUGUAAAGCCCUUUUGUUGGGAAAGAAAAGCAGCAGGUUAAUACCCCGCUGUUCUGACGGUACCCAAAGAAUAAGCACCGGCUAACUUCGUG
Molecule: ribosomal RNA, 492 nt
Filed under: uncultured bacterium
Lineage: Bacteria
Description: partial 16S ribosomal RNA
Rfam family: Bacterial small subunit ribosomal RNA
Source: RNAcentral